UUCUUAUUAGUUUAAUGGUAAAAUAAGAUAUUCCUAAUAUCCUGAUCUAAGUUCGAGUCUUGGAUAAGAAU
This is a non-coding RNA of Lophiostoma macrostomum CBS 122681, 71 nucleotides long. NCBI's taxonomy places the organism in Eukaryota, Fungi, Ascomycota, Dothideomycetes, Pleosporales, Lophiostomataceae. The record is from the annotation of a GenBank genome assembly.